RNAcentral lists this ribosomal RNA (324 nucleotides) under uncultured bacterium. RNAcentral's name for it is "bacterial SSU rRNA". It matches the Rfam family "Bacterial small subunit ribosomal RNA", at positions 153 to 507 of the family's 1533-position model. The record is from RNAcentral.
GGAACCGAGGCUAAUACCGCAUAAUACCCACGGGUCAAAGGAGCAAUUCGCUUGAGGAGGGGGGUCGCGGCCGAUUAGUUAGUUGGCGGGGUAAUGGCCCCACCAAGACGGUGAUCGGUAUCCGGCCUGAGAGGGCGCACGGACACACUGGAACUGAAACACGGUCCAGACUCCUACGGGAGGCAGCAGUGGGGAAUUUUGCGCAAUGGGGGAAACCCUGACGCAGCAACGCCGCGUGGAGGAUGAAGUCUCUUGGGACGUAAACUCCUUUCGAUCGGGACGAUUAUGACGGUACCGGAAGAAGAAGCCCCGGCUAACUUCGUG